RNAcentral lists this small nucleolar RNA (134 nucleotides) under Castor canadensis (American beaver). Its description in RNAcentral is "Small nucleolar RNA SNORA17 (ENSCCNG00000002978.1)". It matches the Rfam family "Small nucleolar RNA SNORA17". Rfam says of the family: snoRNA ACA 17 belongs to the H/ACA family of snoRNAs and is predicted to guide pseudouridylation of the 28S rRNA at positions U4659 and U4598. The record is from Rfam by way of RNAcentral. Lineage: Eukaryota; Metazoa; Chordata; Mammalia; Rodentia; Castoridae.
GCUGCCCCUAGAGGCUUUCCUGCUGUGGCUGCUCUGUCACAGUUCUGUCAGCAGGUGGCAGAGAGGAGAGAUGCUUUGUCUAUGCUCAGUGUUUUUUGACCCAUGAACAUUUGAGUAAUUAGUAGCCUGACAUU